Molecule: ribosomal RNA, 465 nt
Filed under: uncultured bacterium
Lineage: Bacteria
Description: partial 16S ribosomal RNA
Rfam family: Bacterial small subunit ribosomal RNA
Source: RNAcentral
CCUACGGGCGGCAGCAGUGGGGAAUAUUGCGCAAUGGGCGAAAGCCUGACGCAGCGACGCCGCGUGAGGGAUGAAGGUCUUCGGAUCGUAAACCCCUGUCAGCAGGGAAGAACGGUCACUUUGCUAAUCAUCAGUGAAUUGACGGUACCUGCAAAGGAAGCACCGGCUAACUCCGUGCCAGCAGCCGCGGUAAUACGGAGGGUGCGAGCGUUAAUCGGAAUUACUGGGCGUAAAGCGCACGUAGGCGGUAUGUCAAGUCAAGGGUGAAAUCCCCGGGCUGAACGUGGGUACUGCCUUUGAAACUGGGAGACUGGAGUGUGGGAGAGGAGAGUGGAAUUCCAGGUGUAGGAGUGAAAUGCGUAGAUAUCUGGAGGAACAUCAGUGGCGAAGGCGACUAUCUGGCACAUAACUGACGCUGAGGAGCGAAAGCGUGGGUAGCAAACAGGAUUAGAUACCCCUGUAGUC